UCGGCCUGCCGCCGCCACGGGGGCCUCUGACACUGCGCGCCAGGCCAGGUUCCGGAAGGCAGCCUGCGCGGGCGGGGAGCGCGGGCCCGGGAGGCCCCCGCGCGCCGGGCUGCCUGCAGCAGGGGGCUCGCACGAACGUCUUCCCCCGCCAACCUCCCAGCGCUGGGGUGCGGGCUAGGACGGGGUGGGGGGACAGUGGCGCCCAGCGCGGAACAGCGCAGGAGCCGGGCGCAACGCCGCACGCGGGGACCCAGGUUGCUGGGGCUCUGUCUCUGUGUGAGCCAGCCUGCGGGAAGCCUCGUCUGGCAGAAGGUGACCCAGAGAAAGGAAUUCUAACGCUUCUCUCAGAGGUCAGCCGACUGUUUCUGUAACGGGGCAGAGAGGGGGUGUCUGGGGGUCUGUGUCACCGGGACUGAAGCCUGCCGUAGCAAUGCUGAGGCAGCCAGAGACGACUCGUAAGCAAACGGGCGCGCGGGGCUCCCGCAGAGCCCUGUUCGCAGCGCAGGUGGGCCUCGGCCGCCCCCUGCUCUGUGUGGGCCCUUGGCAGUCCCUCACCUGGAUGCCAGCCCAUCCUCAGCUGCAGCCCGUGCCAUGAAAUAUGUCUGUCCCGCCGGUGCCUGACUCUGGGCAGAGUUUCUCAGGGGCAAGACCCCACACCCCGCGCUCAGCCCCAGCCUGCAGGCUCGUCUUGCGCCGUCUUCCCGCCUUUCUCCCAUUUCACAGGCACAUAAACUGAGGCUCCAGCAGCCUGCCUCUUGUUCAGAGCCAGGCCAUGCGUAAGCGAGGGGGCUGGAAUCCAAGCCGGGGCUGCACCGUGGUGACCCCCGCCCCCAUCCCAGCGCACCUCUGCCUGGGCGCCCACCCCCUCCCCGUGGCCCCAACCCCUCUGUCCACCUCCACUUCCUGUGGCCACUCAGGGAAUUUGCAUCUGGGGCCAAAGCAUGAGCGUCAGUGACUCCCGAGGCCCCCGUUCACUCUGGGACCCCCAAUAUUGUCGUGCACAGGAUACCUUCCAGCCAGCAACAGCCGGGGCCGAGGAGUUCGGGCUGGGGGGAGGGGAUAAUGAGGGCCCGUGAGACCCAGUGGCAGGUGCUAGGUCCUCUGCAAAGUGGGAUGAGCCGAGUCCUAACUGCCUUGUGGCUGUCUUUGCCGUGCACAAGCCCUGUGCGCAGAAUGUCCUGGAAAGCCCCCUUCGCGGUGGCUCCAUUGCCCUGUCCUAGGGGACAGGGCUGAGGCCCAGAGACACUGAGUCACCAUCUCAUGUUGCAGAGCCGAGUUCCAGGCCGCCACACGCACUGCCUUUGGUCACUCUGCUGGGCUGGAUAGUGUCCCCCAAACUCACGUCCUACCCAGACGCAGGACCUUUGGAAA
RNAcentral lists this long non-coding RNA (1371 nucleotides) under Sus scrofa (pig). RNAcentral's name for it is "lncRNA (ENSSSCG00070007073.1)". Lineage: Eukaryota; Metazoa; Chordata; Mammalia; Artiodactyla; Suidae. The record is from RNAcentral.